RNAcentral lists this ribosomal RNA (551 nucleotides) under uncultured bacterium. RNAcentral's name for it is "bacterial SSU rRNA". It matches the Rfam family "Bacterial small subunit ribosomal RNA", at positions 100 to 665 of the family's 1533-position model. The record is from RNAcentral.
GAACGGGUGAGUAACACGUGAGUAAUCUGCCCCUAGCUCUGGGAUAGCUCCGGGAAACCGGGAUUAAUACCGGAUACGACCACUUUAGACAUCUGUUGUGGUUGAAAGAAUUUCGGCUAGGGAUGAACUCGCGGCCUAUCAGCUUGUUGGUGAGGUAACGGCCCACCAAGGCGACGACGGGUAGCCGGCCUGAGAGGGCGACCGGCCACACUGGGACUGAGACACGGCCCAGACUCCUACGGGAGGCAGCAGUGGGGAAUAUUGCGCAAUGGGCGAAAGCCUGACGCAGCGACGCCGCGUGGGGGAUGAAGGCCUUCGGGUUGUAAACCCCUUUCAGCAGGGACGAAGCGAAAGUGACGGUACCUGCAGAAGAAGCGCCGGCUAACUACGUGCCAGCAGCCGCGGUAACACGUAGGGCGCAAGCGUUGUCCGGAAUUAUUGGGCGUAAAGGGCGCGUAGGCGGUGUUGUAAGUCACCUGUGAAACCUCUAGGUUAACCUAGAGCCUGCAGGCGAAAUUGCAAUGCUGGAGGGGUGGGAAGAGGUGCGUGGG